GAGGGGAUCCCACCAGACCAGCAGAGGUUGAUAUUUGCUGGGAAACAAUUGGAAGAUGGAAGGACUUUGGCCGAUUACAACAUCCAGAAAGAGUCCACCCUUCACCUUGUUCUGCGUCUGCGUGGUGGCUUCUAAAUGCUCCAUCUGUUUCAGCCCGCUUGGCUGACUUGUGUUUGGUGUUUAUGCCUUGGGCCAAUGGCUUCUUAAAAAGUUUUUAAUUUAGUAUUGUUCCAGGGUUUGCUGGUGGUGUUAUUCCAUGUAUGUAUGUAACGGGAAGUGAUGCCAGUGUUGUUUGUUUUGUUAAUAAAAUUUAGAAUUUUCUAAAUAUUCUUACCCUGGAUUUCUGUUUUGUUUUAAGUAUUUCCCUUGCAUUACGACCUGUGCUUAGCAUUUUUCACAGUUUGACAUGACUGAAUAUACGAGUUUCUUGAGAGCAAUCCACCACAUGCCUGACUCAAGCUCAUUGUUCAUCGCUAUUAAUAUGUUGACUUCAGUUGAUUGGUGGGUUCUGAUCGUUUUUCAUUAUAAAGGACUUUCUGGUUUCAUUAGUGGAUCAGGGUUUAAAGCAUACUGUCCUCAAUAUUCUUCUAAAAAGGGUUCAGUUAGGGGAGGCUGUCAUAGAUGUCCAUCCUUAAAAUUUUCUCAAAACUUAAAAGUAGUUGAUCCUAAUAGACUGUUUAAUUAACAUGUAAAUCUUUCAGUUGAGCAACCCUGGUUCAGAACAUUGUUAAGUGGUUGAAACGUGAAAAGGCAAUAGGAUAGUCAAGAAGUGGUUGAUAACUAGUGAUCUUUUUUUUUUUUUUCUUUAAUAAUCUUCAACCUUAUUUAUUUAUUUGUUUAUUUUGGUUUGAAGUUUUGAAAAGCUUUUGGUGAAACUCUAAAUCAUGGGCGCAAUUGAAGAAUAAAGGUCGGUGGACAAAGAGCAUUAAACCAUUGAAGUUCCUUGAAAAUUGAAGAACAAGAUGCUCUUAUCCACUAACAUAGUUAUGGUGUAAAAUUUAUACAUAUUUGCAAGAAAAAUAAGAAAAAAAAGACACCACCACUUGAUUCGAGUUAUCAAAAGUAUAAUGAAUUACCGAAUUAAGUUUUUGUCAUACAUGAUGGAUAUUGUUUGUCAUGCAUUAAGUUUUCUGUGAUAUUUUACACGCAAGUCAUUCGUCAACAUACGUGUUUUCGUAGAAGGGUAUGAGUGAAACGCUCAAGAGUAUUACUAAUUAAAUUAGUGGGCAUUAAAAGAUCAAGGGGCAAACACACAAGGAGAUUCACAAUCAAGAGGCCAAAUUAGGGAUUUUGACAAAAAGUUAACAUCUUUUUUAAAUUUUAAUACGAUUUACCCCGUGAUUAAAAAAAACAGAAUAUACAAAUAUGGACAAAUCAUGACAUUUUCGAGUGGAAGACAUAAGAAUUUCCUAAAAUUAAGGGACCAUCUUUUAGUUUGUUUGAAAAAUAUCCACCUGCCAAAAGAAUUGAAAAAUUAAGAGUGUGUUUGAAUUGCAUUUUCCGUCAUUUUUCAUGGAAAAAUUACUGUAGCGAUUUGAUAUAUGUGAGGGAAAAAGGUGAUAGGGAAAUGUGAUCACGGAAAACGACAAUAUUUUCCGACAGAAACAAAUAAUCCAAACACACCCUAAGAUAGUUUCAAUCGAGAGGAAUCUCUAAAAUCGAGUAAAAGAAAUUUCUAAAUGAGGUGGAUCAUCUUUUAAUUUUUUUUUUCAUAAGGAAUUCACGUACCAAAAAGUAACGGAAAAUCACCAUAUGUUCUAAGCCAUGGAGAGAUCUUGAAAUUUAAGGAGGAUGUUCAUUUGUUGGGAAAAAGUUAAAGGCAAUUGAUCCUUAUUAUUAUUAAUUUUUUGACAAAAACUUUUGUAGGCUCGAUUGACAGCCAUUUGGCUGUAGAUCGAGUGGUACACUCUACACAAAUUGCCACGUAAUAAAUAUUCAAAAUUUCACAAUUUUUAUUCUUGGCUUAUCCAUAACCUUUCUCACCAAUCUCUAUAUUCUUGGUUUUUUUUUCCAAUGCAAACACAAUUUUCCAAUGCAAACAUUUCUUCCUGCUUUCUUCCGCAAAUUGCAUCUCGCUUUGUAUCAUCUCCAAAUCGAAUUUUUUUUUUAAAAAAAAAAAAAGAAAAAAAUUCCAAACCCCUAAUCAAAUUGAUACUUGACUUUUCUUUUGAUUUAUGGUCAGAUUUGUUUUAAUUGGGUUUUCUUCAAAAUAAAUCGAAAUCCUAACCGUAGGUGCUACGAGAAAGAAGGAAAGAAGACACGAGGAAAACAAAGGCGGUGACUGUAGGUUUGAUGGUUUCAGUGGAUCUAAGAGUGCAGAUUUUGGGGUUGGAAAGGAAAAUGGGUUUCUGAACAAAAGGGGCAAUACGAAUGGCUGUUCAUAUUCCUUGCAGAUGCUGCUUCCUACACCGAAAGAUGGUGAUGGCGGUACCGUGGUAAUAAGGAAAUUGAGAGAGAUGAGUAAGAAUCUGACGGCUGUGAGUCAUCUGACAGGUUGCUUGAACCAUAUCACCAAGUAGCACCGCUAAAAUAUAUAGGAGUCCAAACUUUGGCAAAAGGAGGUGGUCAGCUGCAAAGGCUGAUUUAACAAGGGGCGGGGCCAUUGCAAGAAUAUAUUUUUGUGCAGAUGACGUGGCAAAUCUCAUACCUCUAUGUCUACAGGUGGAUGGCGGAUCGGAAAUGGGGCAGGAGCAAGAACAACCGUUCCUUGCAGUUGAGUUGACGGGAAUGAUUUGAUCAAAAAAUUUUAUGCGAUUCAAAUCACAUUUUAUAACUCGAUUUUUAGAUUGUGUGUGAGACUUACAAAAAUUUGUUUUAAUGUCGUGUGCAAAAAAAUUUAUAUUGUGUGCAAUCAAAAUUAUACACAGUAAAAAAAACACAUAAUCGAUCGAAACGAUUGUACCUGUAACCGUCUGUGCUCCUGUUCACUCAAGUUUUUGCCUUUUUUUUUUCCCCGCUGACUUGUCCUUUUCUUGAGCGUGUUGGGCUCUUGUUUCCGACUUUUCUGGUAUAAUAAUAAUCCUUUUUCUUGUAUUUGUUUAUUUUGUUAGGAAAAUUUUAUAACAAGCAUCCUCACUCACUCAAGAAAAGAACAAGUUAGAGGAAAAAAAAAGAAAGGACCAAUUGCCUUAUAAUAAGCAUCCCCGCUCACUCAAGAAAAGAACAAGUUGGAGGAAAAAAGAGAAAGGACCACUUGCAUUAUAAUAAGCAUCCUCACUCACACAAGAAAAGAACAAGUUAGAGGAAAAAAGAGAAAGGACCAGUUGCCUUAACCCUUUCCCAACAAAAUAAACAAAUAAGAAAAAGGAUUAUUAUACUAGAAAGGUUGGAAACAAGACAACGGUCUUGUUUGGCAAGUAAAUUUUUAGUCAAAUUGAUUUGUUACAAGUAUUUUAAUAAUUUUAUUUACAGUAAUUUUAAAAAAUUUUAAAAUUUUAAAAUUAUAUACUUUAAAAUAUUUAAAAAUUUAUAUACUUUAAAUUUUUUUUAAUAAUUUUUACAAUAAAUUAUAAUAAAAUUUUAAAUAAAUACAUAACAAAAUUCACUUGACAAAUGGGGCAAGAGUCCCGCUCGUUCAAGAAAAGGACUAAAGAAAAGAGGUGGAAAAAGUGGGCUGCCUUAACCGCGUCGGCUGGGUAAGGGUAAGGCAGGCAACUAACAAAUUGGCACGCAGCCAUCAUGACUGACCCAACGCCUCACAGGAACCUGUUCCGUCUGGAGUCGGUCAUCGCUCCUAUAAAUAACCCCGGAUAAUCCUUUUGCUUUAUCAUUCACAUCUUCAUUAUAUAAUCUACAUCUCUUCCUCUAAAACUCUCAUCAAAUCUCCUAUCGAAAGCCGCCUUCCUUCUGUUUCCUCUCGCAAGGUAUUUGCUUUUUCAUCGAUUGUCUUGCUUGCUUCUCGGUUAUGUGAAUUUUUGUUGAUUAUGUAUAUGAUGCUUGACUUUUAGAUGGAUGGUGAAUUAAGGUUGCGGCUGGAGUUGGAAUUUAAAUUAAACUUUCGUUAUAUUUGACGGAUCUGUUCUGAUUUGAUUUGAUUUGAUUUGAUUACUCUGGUUGAACGAGAAAAUUUUCCCCUUCAAUCUUUUGGUUUUGUCUGAUUUGUUUAUUUUGCUGUGAGUUUUUGUUGAUUAUUAGUAAAUUAAGCUGUAAGCCUUUCUUUUUUCCCUAUAGAGGAUAGGAAAAGGUGGAAUUGGUCGAUUUUUUUUUUUUGCCUUGUUUAUUAGGGUUCAGGAAUUUGAUUGAAACCGCUUCUUAUGUUAAGAAUUAACUCUUUGAUUUUGUAGUUGCUAUGCAGAUGUUGGGUUGGGGUAUUUGAGUGAACCAUAAUACCUAUUAUUUGACCCCCUAGUUGGUUUUGAAUUUGGUUCUUCAAGUGAUUUCUUUCUUUUUAUGCAUUUGUUGGUUGAAGAAUAUCUCAUAAUCAAAUCUGAUUAGGUUUGGGUUUGUGCUUAUUUUAAUUCUGACAGAUGCAAAUCUUCGUGAAAACCCUUACCGGGAAGACCAUCACUCUUGAAGUUGAAAGCUCCGACACAAUUGAUAAUGUGAAAGCCAAGAUUCAGGACAAGGAGGGCAUCCCUCCGGACCAGCAAAGGCUGAUAUUUGCUGGAAAACAGCUGGAGGAUGGACGCACCCUUGCCGACUACAACAUUCAGAAGGAAUCCACCCUUCAUUUGGUUCUGCGCCUGAGGGGAGGGAUGCAGAUCUUUGUAAAGACCCUUACCGGAAAAACAAUUACCCUCGAAGUUGAAAGCUCUGAUACAAUUGAUAAUGUCAAGGCUAAGAUUCAGGACAAAGAGGGUAUUCCCCCAGACCAGCAGAGGUUGAUUUUUGCUGGAAAACAACUUGAAGAUGGCCGCACCCUUGCUGAUUAUAACAUUCAGAAGGAGUCGACCCUUCACUUGGUGCUUAGGCUGAGGGGAGGGAUGCAAAUUUUCGUGAAGACCCUCACUGGAAAGACUAUCACUUUGGAGGUUGAGAGCUCAGAUACAAUCGACAACGUGAAAGCUAAGAUCCAGGAUAAGGAGGGAAUCCCUCCGGAUCAGCAGAGGCUGAUCUUUGCUGGCAAGCAGCUUGAAGAUGGCAGGACUCUUGCUGACUAUAAUAUUCAGAAAGAGUCAACUCUUCAUUUAGUGCUGAGAUUGAGGGGUGGAAUGCAGAUUUUUGUCAAGACUUUGACAGGGAAGACCAUAACUCUUGAGGUGGAGAGUUCAGAUACUAUAGAUAAUGUGAAGGCAAAAAUUCAGGACAAGGAGGGCAUCCCACCAGACCAGCAAAGGUUGAUCUUUGCUGGUAAGCAGCUUGAGGAUGGCCGGACCCUUGCAGAUUACAACAUCCAGAAGGAAUCAACCCUUCAUCUGGUGCUCAGGUUGCGAGGAGGAAUGCAAAUUUUUGUCAAGACUCUGACUGGAAAGACCAUCACUUUGGAGGUGGAGAGCUCAGAUACGAUUGAUAACGUCAAGGCUAAGAUCCAGGACAAGGAGGGGAUCCCACCUGACCAGCAGAGAUUGAUCUUUGCUGGUAAACAGUUGGAAGAUGGAAGGACUUUGGCAGAUUAUAACAUCCAGAAAGAGUCCACCCUUCACCUUGUCCUGCGUCUGCGUGGUGGUUUCUGAGUGCUGCAUCUAUAUGCAGUUGAAGGCUGUCUCUUGAAGUUGGUAGUCUUUUGUGUUUGUCUGCUUGAUUUCUGUCCGUGUCCAAGCCAUGGGCCCUAAUAGCUUCCUAAG
This 5723-nucleotide long non-coding RNA is filed under the name Coffea arabica (coffee). RNAcentral's name for it is "long non-coding RNA (CARA_LNC004121)". The record is from RNAcentral. Lineage: Eukaryota; Viridiplantae; Streptophyta; Magnoliopsida; Gentianales; Rubiaceae.